This 244-nucleotide long non-coding RNA is filed under the name Elaeis guineensis (African oil palm). RNAcentral describes it as "long non-coding RNA (EGUI_LNC071680)". The record is from RNAcentral. Lineage: Eukaryota; Viridiplantae; Streptophyta; Magnoliopsida; Arecales; Arecaceae.
GUAUGUCCUAGAAGCCAAUAUGGCUGACACAUUGUAAUAAUUCUAGGACAUAAUUUUAUACUUAAUAUAUUGAUAUGAUCAAUAAAAGUAUAAUUGUUUUUCAUUCAAGUGUGAUGUGUCCUUGAAUCGUCCAUAGAAUUAGUUUCGAUACAUAUUCUUAAAGUAUUGAGAAUUAGAGAUAUGUAUUUAAUUUCUAAAUAUUUUCGAUCAUAGGAUCAUCGUGAGGACGGUGAUAGAUCUGGAU